AUAUCUCUCUGUACGGGAAGGAUGAGAAGCUUCGACUAAGGUUCGAUUCGAGCGCAGCGAGAAAGCGUUGCCGCAGGCAACGACCCGAAGGGCGAAGCGCGCAGCGCUGAGUCAUCCUUCCUCCACCACCA
RNAcentral lists this small RNA (131 nucleotides) under Salmonella enterica. RNAcentral's name for it is "RtT sRNA". It matches the Rfam family "RtT RNA". From Rfam's summary of the family: This family represents a bacterial cis-regulatory element known as RtT RNA. Lineage: Bacteria; Pseudomonadati; Pseudomonadota; Gammaproteobacteria; Enterobacterales; Enterobacteriaceae. The record is from RNAcentral.